GACGAACGCUGGCGGCGUGCUUGACACAUGCAAGUCGAACGGAAAGGCCCUGCUUUUGUGGGGUGCUCGAGUGGCGAACGGGUGAGUAACACGUGAGUAACCUGCCCUUGACUUUGGGAUAACUUCAGGAAACUGGGGCUAAUACCGGAUAGGAGCUCCUGCUGCAUGGUGGGGGUUGGAAAGUUUCGGCGGUUGGGGAUGGACUCGCGGCUUAUCAGCUUGUUGGUGGGGUAGUGGCUUACCAAGGCUUUGACGGGUAGCCGGCCUGAGAGGGUGACCGGCCACAUUGGGACUGCGAUACGGCCCAGACUCCUACGGGAGGCAGCAGUGGGGAAUAUUGCACAAUGGGCGGAAGCCUGAUGCAGCAACGCCGCGUGCGGGAUGACGGCCUUCGGGUUGUAAACCGCUUUCGCCUGUGACGAAGCGUGAGUGACGGUAAUGGGUAAAGAAGCACCGGCCAACUACGUG
Molecule: ribosomal RNA, 468 nt
Filed under: uncultured bacterium
Lineage: Bacteria
Description: partial 16S ribosomal RNA
Rfam family: Bacterial small subunit ribosomal RNA
Source: RNAcentral